Molecule: ribosomal RNA, 253 nt
Filed under: uncultured bacterium
Lineage: Bacteria
Description: partial 16S ribosomal RNA
Rfam family: Bacterial small subunit ribosomal RNA
Source: RNAcentral
UACAGAGGUCUCAAGCGUUGUUCGGAUUCAUUGGGCGUAAAGGGUGCGCAGGCGGCGCGGUAAGUCGGGUGUGAAAUCUCGGAGCUUAACUCCGAAACUGCAUUCGAUACUGCCGUGCUUGAGGACUGGAGAGGAGACUGGAAUUUACGGUGUAGCGGUGAAAUGCGUAGAUAUCGUAAGGAAGACCAGUGGCGAAGGCGGGUCUCUGGACAGUUCCUGACGCUGAGGCACGAAGGCCAGGGGAGCAAACGGG